RNAcentral lists this ribosomal RNA (213 nucleotides) under uncultured bacterium. Its description in RNAcentral is "partial 16S ribosomal RNA". It matches the Rfam family "Bacterial small subunit ribosomal RNA", at positions 1288 to 1500 of the family's 1533-position model. The record is from RNAcentral.
UCAGUUCGGAUUGUAGGCUGCAACUCGCCUACAUGAAGUUGGAAUCGCUAGUAAUCGCGAAUCAGAAUGUCGCGGUGAAUACGUUCCCGGGUCUUGUACACACCGCCCGUCACACCACGAGAGUUUACAACACCCGAAGUCAGUGGCCUAACCGCAAGGAGGGAGCUGCCUAAGGUGGGGUAGAUGAUUGGGGUGAAGUCGUAACAAGGUAGC